This 722-nucleotide ribosomal RNA is filed under the name Planococcus sp. xt16. RNAcentral describes it as "bacterial SSU rRNA". It matches the Rfam family "Bacterial small subunit ribosomal RNA", at positions 56 to 763 of the family's 1533-position model. The record is from RNAcentral. Lineage: Bacteria; Bacillati; Bacillota; Bacilli; Caryophanales; Caryophanaceae. RNAcentral also lists the same sequence under 1 other name.
UGCAGUCGAGCGGAACCGUUGGAGCUUGCUCCAACAGUUUAGCGGCGGACGGGUGAGUAACACGUGGGCAACCUGCCCUGCAGAUCGGGAUAACUCCGGGAAACCGGUGCUAAUACCGAAUAGUUUGGAACACCUCCUGGUGUUCCACGGAAAGACGGUUUCGGCUGUCACUGCAGGAUGGGCCCGCGGCGCAUUAGCUAGUUGGUGGGGUAACGGCCUACCAAGGCGACGAUGCGUAGCCGACCUGAGAGGGUGAUCGGCCACACUGGGACUGAGACACGGCCCAGACUCCUACGGGAGGCAGCAGUAGGGAAUCUUCCGCAAUGGACGAAAGUCUGACGGAGCAACGCCGCGUGAGUGAAGAAGGUUUUCGGAUCGUAAAACUCUGUUGUGAGGGAAGAACAAGUACCAAUUAACUACUGGUACCUUGACGGUACCUCACCAGAAAGCCACGGCUAACUACGUGCCAGCAGCCGCGGUAAUACGUAGGUGGCAAGCGUUGUCCGGAAUUAUUGGGCGUAAAGCGCGCGCAGGCGGUCCUUUAAGUCUGAUGUGAAAGCCCACGGCUCAACCGUGGAGGGUCAUUGGAAACUGGGGGACUUGAGUGCAGAAGAGGAAAGUGGAAUUCCACGUGUAGCGGUGAAAUGCGUAGAGAUGUGGAGGAACACCAGUGGCGAAGGCGACUUUCUGGUCUGUAACUGACGCUGAGGCGCGAAAGCGUG